RNAcentral lists this unclassified non-coding RNA (240 nucleotides) under soil metagenome. RNAcentral's name for it is "partial contains 5.8S ribosomal RNA, internal transcribed spacer 2, and large subunit ribosomal RNA". The record is from RNAcentral.
AAGACUAUAGACCUGCGGAGUACCUGCGGAGGGAUCAUUAUGGAAUAAACUCGGUCGUGUUGUUGCUGGCCCUUUGGGGCAUGUGCACGCUCGACUCUUGUUUCCAUCUUCCCAUGUGCACCCUUUGUAGACUUGUGGGGUUUUUCGUUCUCGAACGAAUUUGUGGGAUUGCCGCUGCUUCUUCGGAAGCCGGCUCUCCCAUUGUCCCCCAAGUCUACGUUUCUUCUAUACACUCUGAAA